This 66-nucleotide transfer RNA is filed under the name Chrysomeloidea sp. 6 KM-2017. Its description in RNAcentral is "tRNA-Trp". Lineage: Eukaryota; Metazoa; Arthropoda; Insecta; Coleoptera. The record is from RNAcentral.
AAGGAUUUAAGUUAAUUAAACUGUUAACCUUCAAAGUUAAAAAUAGAAAAAGAUUUCUAAGCCUUA